This 516-nucleotide ribosomal RNA is filed under the name Pichia sp. 2c. Its description in RNAcentral is "SSU rRNA". It matches the Rfam family "Eukaryotic small subunit ribosomal RNA", at positions 1197 to 1749 of the family's 1831-position model. The record is from RNAcentral. Lineage: Eukaryota; Fungi; Ascomycota; Pichiomycetes; Pichiales; Pichiaceae.
GACUCACGGAACUCACAGUCAGACACAAUAAGGAUUGACAGAUUGAGAGCUCUUUCUUGAUUUGUGGGUGGUGGUGCAUGCGUUUCUUAGUUGGUGGAGUGAUUUGUCUGCUUAAUUGCGAUAACGAACGAGACCUUAACCUACUAAAUAGUGCUGCUAGCUUUUGCUGGUAUAGUCACUUCUUAGAGGGACUAUCGAUUUCAAGUCGAUGGAAGUUUGAGGCAAUAACAGGUCUGUGAUGCCCUUAGACGUUCUGGGCCGCACGCGCGCUACACUGACGGAGCAGCGAGUAUUAACCUUGGCCGAGAGGUCUGGGAAAUCUUUGUGAAACUCCGUCGUGCUGGGAUAGAGCAUUGUAAUUAUUGCUCUUCAACGAGGAAUUCCUAGUAAGCGCAAGUCAUCAGCUUGCGUUGAUUACGUCCUGCCUUUGUACACACGCCGUCGCUACUACCGAUUGAAUGGCUUAGUGAGGCCUCCGGAUUGGUUUAAAGAAGGGGCAACUCCAUCUUGGAACCG